CAAGGAAGACUAGUGUUAUUCAUCUUAAUUAGGUUUAAAGGGUACCUAGACAGUAUUUCUAGCCUCAAAAGGGGAACAGACUUACUAGAGUUUUAUGGGAGAGGAAAAUAUUAGAACCAUUGGAGUAGAGAUAAAAAUGUUUUGAUACUAAUGGGACGGAUAGCGGCGAAGGCAAACCUCUAUGUAAUAACUGACGUUGAGGGGCGAAGGCUUGGGGAGCGAAUAGGAUU
Molecule: ribosomal RNA, 230 nt
Filed under: uncultured bacterium
Lineage: Bacteria
Description: partial 16S ribosomal RNA
Rfam family: Bacterial small subunit ribosomal RNA
Source: RNAcentral